CCUACGGGAGGCAGCAGUGAGGAAUAUUGGUCAAUGGACGAGAGUCUGAACCAGCCAAGUAGCGUGAAGGAUGACUGCCCUAUGGGUUGUAAACUUCUUUUAUAUGGGAAUAAAAUGUUCCACGUGUGGGAUUUUGUAUGUACCCUAUGAAUAAGGAUCGGCUAACUCCGUGCCAGCAGCCGCGGUAAUACGGAGGAUCCGAGCGUUAUCCGGAUUUAUUGGGUUUAAAGGGAGCGUAGGUGGAUUGUUAAGUCAGUUGUGAAAGUUUGCGGCUCAACCGUAAAAUUGCAGUUGAAACUGACAGUCUGGAGUACAGUAGAGGUGGGCGGAAUUCGUGGUGUAGCGGUGAAAUGCUUAGAUAUCACGAAGAACUCCGAUUGCGAAGGCAGCUCACUGGACUGCAACUGACACUGAGGCUCGAAAGUGUGGGUAUCAAACAGGAUUAGAUGCCCGUGUAGUC
RNAcentral lists this ribosomal RNA (460 nucleotides) under uncultured bacterium. RNAcentral's name for it is "partial 16S ribosomal RNA". It matches the Rfam family "Bacterial small subunit ribosomal RNA", at positions 338 to 795 of the family's 1533-position model. The record is from RNAcentral.